This 256-nucleotide long non-coding RNA is filed under the name Dermacentor andersoni. Its description in RNAcentral is "uncharacterized LOC126543077". The record is from RNAcentral. Lineage: Eukaryota; Metazoa; Arthropoda; Arachnida; Ixodida; Ixodidae.
AUUCCGUCGCGCGCGCGCAGCAUAUUCGGUGGCGGCCUCGCCUUCGUCGCUGUGUUUAGCAUGACAAUGGGUGAAGAAGCACAACGGCUGUUCAUGACCAUGAUAAAGGAGUCACCGCUACCCGCAGCAUCAGCUGUCAUCGAUGCCUUGGCCACUCCUGAGAACGUUGGCGAGAUACCCGACGAGAACACCGCUGCGUCGGACGUGGGCGAGAGGGGACCGCAGCCAGCGCCAGAAGUGAGAAGAGGCGGCGGAG